GACGAACGCUGGCGGCGUGCUUAACACAUGCAAGUCGAACGGAAAGGCCCUGCUUUUGUGGGGUGCUCGAGUGGCGAACGGGUGAGUAACACGUGAGUAACCUGCCCUUGACUUUGGGAUAACUUCAGGAAACUGGGGCUAAUACCGGAUAGGAGCUCCUGCUGCAUGGUGGGGGUUGGAAAGUUUCGGCGGUUGGGGAUGGACUCGCGGCUUAUCAGCUUGUUGGUGGGGUAGUGGCUUACCAAGGCUUUGACGGGUAGCCGGCCUGAGAGGGUGACCGGCCACAUUGGGACUGAGAUGCGGCCCAGACUCCUACGGGAGGCAGCAGUGGGGAAUAUUGCACAAUGGGCGGAAGCCUGAUGCAGCAACGCCGCGUGCGGGAUGACGGCCUUCGGGUUGUAAACCGCUUUCGCCUGUGACGAAGCGUGAGUGACGGUAAUGGGUAAGGAAGCACCGGCUAACUACGUG
This 468-nucleotide ribosomal RNA is filed under the name uncultured bacterium. RNAcentral describes it as "partial 16S ribosomal RNA". It matches the Rfam family "Bacterial small subunit ribosomal RNA", at positions 28 to 507 of the family's 1533-position model. The record is from RNAcentral.